Molecule: long non-coding RNA, 1225 nt
Organism: Thunnus maccoyii (southern bluefin tuna)
Lineage: Eukaryota; Metazoa; Chordata; Actinopteri; Scombriformes; Scombridae
Exons: 3
Source: RefSeq, a predicted model, not a curated record
CAACUAGGACUAACUGUAGGGUUAGUUCUGCGAUACCACCCUACUCUUUUAUUUCCAUGAGUUCUGUUUUAAAACUCAUCAGCUGGAAACAUUAGGUCUGCUGGAAACAGAUUCAACCAACUCACAAAAGAGCCAGAGGAUCUGGAAACAUUCCGAUUUUGGAGGGACCUGCUGACAGCUGCUGUACUGCUUGGGCAGAGUCCAGGCCCCUAUCUUGUGGUCUGUGAAAGCUCCUCCAAAGCCCUAAUUGCACUUCAGAUGUUGAGCGUUGUUUUCACUCAGCUCUCAACCAACGUAAACUUGCCCAGCACCAUCCUAAAAGCCCAUUUAGAAUCACCUCCCUCACUGGUAAAGCUCUCAGCGCCUGCUGUCUGCUUUGCCAAUUAAAAGAGUCAGGGCAUGUGACAUAGCUUGAUGUUUGAACAUGUGUGCCCAUCUGUAUGUGUUUGUGUGCGGUUGUGUGUGUAUGCCUGCAGGUCUAGAGGAGCCAUGUGUCUCUGUGUCUCUGGAUGUUUACCCAAUUACUGCGGGAAGUCCAAUGGGUCCCAUGCUGAAAGAUGUCUGCAGCCACAGAAAUCAUACUUUGUCUCCAAGGGAAACAUUUGCUUCAGGACUCAGUUGUUACAAUGACAAAUGCUGAAGGACGCCAAGAUUACAGCUCCAUCCCAAAAGUUCAGAGGGCCAUGGUAAUAAAAUGAGUGUUAUCAGGGCCGAGGAUGCAACAACUUUGAUCCAGAAGACCAGAUGAUCCACAUCAGCUUAGUUUGCAGUCUGCUGUCGACUACCUCAAAGCCAUCAGCAGGAGGCAUGACAUUGCAUGAAAAUAUAUCACUGACACCACUGCUUUGCAAGAGGUGAUUGUUACACCUAAGUCAUACAUACAAAAUAUGAAUAUUGUUCAUCCAGUUAAUCUACUUGGCAUGAGUGUCAGUGCUGAUUUCUGAAAACAGAAAAGUAUUUCAAAACAAUACAGGCCACAUCUGUGUAUUAUUAAUGUUCCCAAACAGUAACUUUUCUUUUUUUUCUCUUGGCAUGUAAAGAUUCAAUAUGUGGAUCCUUUGAGAUUUUUAAUUGUAUUUUUUCCAGAUGCAAUAGAGAUAGAGGCUAGCCCCUGUAUCAGAUGAAGACCACCUGUGAAGUAUCCACAGUCACCACAUCAAACUACAUAUCUGCCAUAUUAAAUUGCCAUCUAUAUAGCUGUUCAUUUAUAUUUGUGACUUGUAAU